GGCUUAUGGUGGAUACCUAGGCACUUAGAGACAAGGAAGGGCGUAGCAAGCGACGAAAUGCUUCGGGGAGGUGAAAAUAAGCAUAGAUCCAGAGACUCCAUAAUGGGUCAACCUUUCGAACUAUUGCUGAAUCCAUGGGCAAGCAAGAGACAACCUGGCGAACUGAAACAUCUUAGUAGCUAGAGGAAAAAAAGGCAAAAGUGAUUCCUGUAGUAGUAGCGAGCGAAAUGAGAGCAGCCUAAACCGUGAAAAUGGGGUUGUGGGAGAUCAAUACAAGCGUCGUGCUAAUAGGCGAAGCGGUUGAGUACUGCACCCUAGAUGGUGAGAGUCCAGUAGCCAAAAGCAUCACUGGCUUACACUGACCCGAGUAGCAUGGGGCACAUGGAAUCCCGUGUGAAUCAGCAAGGACCACCUUGUAAGGCUAAAUACUCUUGGGUGACCGAUAGCAAAGUAGUACUGUGAGGGAAAUGUGAAAAUAUCCCCCAUCAGGGAGUGAAAUAGAAUAUGAAACGGUGAGCC
Molecule: non-coding RNA, 519 nt
Filed under: Amborella trichopoda
Lineage: Eukaryota; Viridiplantae; Streptophyta; Magnoliopsida; Amborellales; Amborellaceae
Description: Bacterial large subunit ribosomal RNA
Rfam family: Bacterial large subunit ribosomal RNA
Source: Rfam by way of RNAcentral